Molecule: long non-coding RNA, 204 nt
Filed under: Nicotiana benthamiana
Lineage: Eukaryota; Viridiplantae; Streptophyta; Magnoliopsida; Solanales; Solanaceae
Description: long non-coding RNA (NBEN_LNC025822)
Source: RNAcentral
CCCGACCUCUUUAUUUCUUAUUGGCACAACCUCGCGCCAUCAAUUAUCAAAAUUGUCUCGGAAUCUUCUUGUAAAUCCCCAUCUUUCGUACUCUGAGUCAUUAUCCAUAUUCACACGACCGAUCUCUUUGUUGAAUGAUCAAUAUAAUUCCUUGCAUAAGCUUCGCCAACCACGCGACCGCUAACCUGCUCACGGAGAAAUAAC